CACUGGGGCCUUGGAGAAAUUGAAAAGGACCUGGGCUGUGUGGCUCUGGCCGAGCCCUUGACCCUCUCUGGGCCUUCACACACUGAUCAGUGAAACUACAGGAGGAGGCAAUUGCUCUGUGGACCCGGGGUGCCUGGAGAGAGCACUGAACUAGUAGGGAAAGGAGGGCAGUCCCUCCUGGCCCUUUGGUGCUCUGGUUAUCACCAAUAACUAGUUAGUAGUUAUCAUUACUAACUAGCAAUAGGCCAUGGUCAGGUCAUUUAACCUCUCUGACUCUCAGCAUCUUUAUCUGUGACAUUGAGACUGUAUCACUUCACAGCGUCGCCAGAACCAUUAUUUGAGAUGAUGCCUGCUUGUGUCAAGUGUCUGAAAUUAUUGUUCUUCUUGACUCCCUUUCUCCGAGUUUGGGUAAAGGGGGGCUAACAGCCCCAUCUCCUUUCUGGAAGUGGUAGUGGUUUCAGGAGGUGUCAGCUGUGGAAGGACCAUGACCAAGGGACAGUCAGGAUGGAGCCCCGGCUGGCAGACUUUCUCAGUGGCCCAGUGAGGCCUGUCUCACUGCGUCACCCUGACUUGGUGAAGCAGAACCCUGGCAAGAGCAGGGCUGGAGUGGCCGGGGUGUGUCUGGGGUGGGGGUGGGGGUAAGUGCAGUCACCAAGGGGGCCGGCAGCUUUGCGGAUCCUGGGCCCUCACUCACAAUUGGAGGAAGGAGUUCAGGAAGUGUUCUCAGCCACACUCAGACCUCACAGAGCCUCGUCCCAGGCAGGACCGAGGCUGCAGCACCCAGGGAUGAGCGUGAUGUGGCCUGGCCCCGGGGGUGGCUGCCAGGUCAGGAGGCCAUGGCACUGUGUUCAGCCAACAGGGAGCCCAGGCCCCUCCGAGUCCAGGGAGUCUUGAGCUCACACUUUAAAGGACAUCGCUUCUUCCAGAGCUGCCAGUGGAGUUGCCCAUGGCUCUCAGAAGCCUGGCCUGAGGCUCAGGAAACAGUGACAGAGACCCAGUGAGAUUGGAGUAGGGCCAUGCGGGGCACCCAACAGCCCAGACAAGGCAGCAGUCAGGGCCUCAGACCAGCACCUUCUUAGAAGAUCACAGGGAGAGUGGCCUGAGGAGCGAGGGUACCUGCCAUCACCGAGAGCCCCGGCUUCAGACAGGGAGCUGAGGCUCCAAGACUCGUCCCAGGUUGCUCAGUGG
Molecule: long non-coding RNA, 1188 nt
Filed under: Sus scrofa (pig)
Lineage: Eukaryota; Metazoa; Chordata; Mammalia; Artiodactyla; Suidae
Description: lncRNA (ENSSSCG00070026468.1)
Source: RNAcentral